RNAcentral lists this ribosomal RNA (387 nucleotides) under uncultured bacterium. RNAcentral describes it as "bacterial SSU rRNA". It matches the Rfam family "Bacterial small subunit ribosomal RNA", at positions 28 to 417 of the family's 1533-position model. The record is from RNAcentral.
GACGAACGCUGGCGGCGUGCUUAACACAUGCAAGUCGAGCGGUAAGGCCCUUUCGGGGGUACACGAGCGGCGAACGGGUGAGUAACACGUGGGUGACCUGCCCUCAGCUCUGGGAUAAGCCCGGGAAACUGGGUCUAAUACCGGAUAUGACUCCAUGACGCAUGUUGUGGGGCGGAAAGCCUUGUGCGGCUGAGGAUGGGCCCGCGGCCUAUCAGCUUGUUGGUGGGGUGAUGGCCACCAAGGCGACGACGGGUAGCCGGCCUGAGAGGGCGACCGGCCACACUGGGACUGAGACACGGCCCAGACUCCUACGGGAGGCAGCAGUGGGGAAUCUUGCGCAAUGGGCGAAAGCCUGACGCAGCGACGCCGCGUGAGGGAUGACGGCCU